Myripristis murdjan (pinecone soldierfish) is the source of this 341-nucleotide long non-coding RNA. RefSeq lists it as uncharacterized. The record is from RefSeq and is a predicted model, not a curated record. The transcript is spliced from 4 exons. Lineage: Eukaryota; Metazoa; Chordata; Actinopteri; Holocentriformes; Holocentridae.
AAUUAGAAUAACAUUGAUCCAGAGCUGCUGACUGUUUGUCCGAGUCCAUUUCAACAAAGACAAGAAGAAACAGCCAUGAACGCCCGAGUCACACUGAUGCUAGUCUUGGCCGCUCUGCUGCUCUUUGCAGGCGCAGAGGCAGGACGGAUCUGUGAUGCAAGGGGAGGAUCAUGCAGCAGUUCCUUCUACUGUGACUUCAGGCUUAACCACUGGGUGAUUACACCUGACUGCAGCCAAAGCGGACUAGUGUGCUGUCUGGAACGCUGAGGACAAAACCCACUUUGAGAUGAGAGAAGAGACCUGAUUCACUCCCAGGAGGGAAAGCUACUUUUUGUGCUGUA